RNAcentral lists this ribosomal RNA (251 nucleotides) under uncultured bacterium. Its description in RNAcentral is "partial 16S ribosomal RNA". It matches the Rfam family "Bacterial small subunit ribosomal RNA", at positions 524 to 773 of the family's 1533-position model. The record is from RNAcentral.
UACGGAGGAUCCGAGCGUUGUCCGGAUUUAUUGGGUUUAAAGGGUGCGUAGGCGGUUUUAUAAGUCAGUGGUUAAAGACUCUCGCUCAACGAGAGGGAUGCCAUUGAUACUGUAGAACUUGAGUACUGUAGAGGUAGGCGGAAUUGGUAGUGUAGCGGUGAAAUGCAUAGAUACUACCAGGAACACCGAUUGCGAAGGCAGCUUACUGGAGAGUAACUGACGCUGAGGCACGGAAAGCGUGGGGAGCAAAC